RNAcentral lists this ribosomal RNA (377 nucleotides) under uncultured bacterium. RNAcentral's name for it is "bacterial SSU rRNA". It matches the Rfam family "Bacterial small subunit ribosomal RNA", at positions 28 to 402 of the family's 1533-position model. The record is from RNAcentral.
GAUGAACGCUGGCGGCGUGCUUAACACAUGCAAGUCGAGCGAUGAAGUUUCCUUCGGGAAACGGAUUAGCGGCGGACGGGUGAGUGACACGUGGGUAACCUGCCUCAUAGAGUGGAAUAGCCUUCCGAAAGGAAGAUUAAUACCGCAUAACGUUGAAAGAUGGCAUCAUCAUUUAACCAAAGGAGCAAUCCGCUAUGAGAUGGACCCGCGGCGCAUUAGCUAGUUGGUGGGGUAACGGCCUACCAAGGCGACGAUGCGUAGCCGACCUGAGAGGUGAUCGGCCACAUUGGGACUGAGACACGGCCCAGACUCCUACGGGAGGCAGCAGUGGGGAAUAUUGCACAAUGGGGGGAAACCCUGAUGCAGCAACGCCGCGU